UAAACUGACAGCAAGCAGUAGGUCUCACACU
Molecule: non-coding RNA, 31 nt
Filed under: Rattus norvegicus (Norway rat)
Lineage: Eukaryota; Metazoa; Chordata; Mammalia; Rodentia; Muridae
Source: RNAcentral